CUGACGAGUGGCGGACGGGUGAGUAAUGCUUGGGAAUCUGGCUUAUGGAGGGGGAUAACGACGGGAAACUGUCGCUAAUACCGCGUAUUAUCGGAAGAUGAAAGUGCGGGACUGAGAGGCCGCAUGCCAUAGGAUGAGCCCAAGUGGGAUUAGGUAGUUGGUGGGGUAAAGGCCUACCAAGCCUGCGAUCUCUAGCUGGUCUGAGAGGAUGACCAGCCACACUGGAACUGAGACACGGUCCAGACUCCUACGGGAGGCAGCAGUGGGGAAUAUUGCGCAAUGGGGGGAACCCUGACGCAGCCAUGCCGCGUGAAUGAAGAAGGCCUUCGGGUUGUAAAGUUCUUUCGGUAUUGAGGAAGGGAGAUGUGUUAAUAGCACACCUCAUUGACGUUAAAUACAGAAGAAGCACCGGCUAACUCCGUGCCAGCAGCCGCGGUAAUACGGAGGGUGCGAGCGUUAAUCGGAAUAACUGGGCGUAAAGGGCACGCAGGCGGUUAUUUAAGUGAGGUGUGAAAGCCCUGGGCUUAACCUAGGAAUUGCAUUUCAGACUGGGUAACUAGAGUACUUUAGGGAGGGGUAGAAUUCCACGUGUAGCGGU
This 598-nucleotide ribosomal RNA is filed under the name Haemophilus influenzae. Its description in RNAcentral is "bacterial SSU rRNA". It matches the Rfam family "Bacterial small subunit ribosomal RNA", at positions 88 to 682 of the family's 1533-position model. Lineage: Bacteria; Pseudomonadati; Pseudomonadota; Gammaproteobacteria; Pasteurellales; Pasteurellaceae. The record is from RNAcentral.